This is a small nucleolar RNA of Sciurus carolinensis (gray squirrel), 121 nucleotides long. RefSeq annotates it as small nucleolar RNA SNORA40. The transcript has a single exon. The record is from RefSeq and is a predicted model, not a curated record. NCBI's taxonomy places the organism in Eukaryota, Metazoa, Chordata, Mammalia, Rodentia, Sciuridae.
CGUUUCUGUGUUCAUUGCUGAACUCGUGAACAGACUUAUAAACAGGUACGAAAAAAACCCCUCUUUGCAAUCUAAAACUCAUCAUUCAGUAUGAGUCUUGAUACAUAUAAGAAAGAAUAUU